This 404-nucleotide ribosomal RNA is filed under the name Actinomycetes bacterium. RNAcentral describes it as "Actinobacteria bacterium partial 16S ribosomal RNA". It matches the Rfam family "Bacterial small subunit ribosomal RNA", at positions 355 to 776 of the family's 1533-position model. The record is from RNAcentral. Lineage: Bacteria; Bacillati; Actinomycetota; Actinomycetes.
UGGGGAAUAUUGGACAAUGGGCGCAAGCCUGAUCCAGCCAUGCCGCGUGAGUGAUGAAGGCCCUAGGGUUGUAAAGCUCUUUCAUCGGUGAAGAUAAUGACGGUAACCGGAGAAGAAGCCCCGGCUAACUUCGUGCCAGCAGCCGCGGUAAUACGAAGGGGGCUAGCGUUGUUCGGAUUUACUGGGCGUAAAGCGCACGUAGGCGGACUAUUAAGUCAGGGGUGAAAUCCCGGGGCUCAACCCCGGAACUGCCUUUGAUACUGGUAGUCUUGAGUUCGAGAGAGGUGAGUGGAAUUCCGAGUGUAGAGGUGAAAUUCGUAGAGAUUCGGAGGAACACCAGUGGCGAAGGCGGCUCACUGGCUCGAUACUGACGCUGAGGUGCGAAAGCGUGGGGAGCAAACAGG